GGAAACGUAUGCUAAUACCGAAUAUGCUCUACGGAGUAAAGGAGCCCUCUUCUUGAAAGGUUUCGCUAUAGGAUGAGCCCGCGUGAGAUUAGCUAGUUGGUAAGGUAAUGGCUUACCAAGGCAACGAUCUCUAGCUGGUUUGAGAGGAUGAUCAGCCACACUGGGACUGAGACACGGCCCAGACUCCUACGGGAGGCAGCAGUGGGGAAUAUUGCACAAUGAGCGAAAGCUUGAUGCAGCCAUACCGCGUGUGUGAAGAAGGCCCGAGGGUUGUAAAGCACUUUCAAUUGUGAGGAAGAUAGUGUCGCUAAUAUCGGCAUUGUUUGACGUUAACUUUAGAAGAAGCACCGGCUAACUCUGUGCCAGCAGCCGCGGUAAUACAGAGGGUGCAAGCGUUAUUCGGAAUUACUGGGCGUAAAGCGCGCGUAGGCGGGCUAUUAAGUCAGUUGUGAAAGCCCUGGGCUCAACCUGGGAACUGCAUCUGAUACUGGUAGUCUAGAGUUUAAGAGAGGGAAGUGGAAUUCCAGGUGUAGCAGUGAAAUGCGUAGAUAUCUGGAGGAACAUCAGUGGCGAAGGCGACUUCCUGGCUUAAAACUGACGCUGAGGUGCGAAAGCGUGGGUAGCGAACGGGAUUAGAUACCCCGGUAGU
RNAcentral lists this ribosomal RNA (649 nucleotides) under Thiomicrospira sp. Tms-MPN/Milos-BIII4. RNAcentral describes it as "bacterial SSU rRNA". It matches the Rfam family "Bacterial small subunit ribosomal RNA", at positions 152 to 794 of the family's 1533-position model. The record is from RNAcentral. Lineage: Bacteria; Pseudomonadati; Pseudomonadota; Gammaproteobacteria; Thiotrichales; Piscirickettsiaceae.